Molecule: long non-coding RNA, 394 nt
Organism: Neofelis nebulosa (Clouded leopard)
Lineage: Eukaryota; Metazoa; Chordata; Mammalia; Carnivora; Felidae
Exons: 2
Source: RefSeq, a predicted model, not a curated record
CAUCUGUCAUGCAGCUUCAGACCACACCCAUCAUGCUUAGACUCGUAGAGGGGAAGUCACCAUUUGGAAAACACCAAAAACCAAGACAGACUGAGGCUUGAAAAAUGGAAACCUGAACAAGGCAAAUGGGCUCACAGCAAGGACCCACUGAAUUGAUGCAGAUCGGUUCAUUAGCUACCCACCUUGAAAGAGCCAUAGACCCUAACGUGCCAGUUACAACCAGGCACAAUUCCGAAGAUUACCAAAAAUGGGAAAAUUCCGUAUGUUCCCAUACUCCCUCACUCUGCCCUGUAACUGUGGCCCCUCACCACUGCCUCAUCACCUACAUGCUUUCUUUUGCUGUCCUGCCUACCGCUCCCUUGUGGAAUAUAUUCAAUAAACUUCUAUCUUUUUU